Molecule: transfer RNA, 58 nt
Organism: Monodelphis domestica (gray short-tailed opossum)
Lineage: Eukaryota; Metazoa; Chordata; Mammalia; Didelphimorphia; Didelphidae
Rfam family: tRNA
About the family: Transfer RNA (tRNA) molecules are approximately 80 nucleotides in length. Their secondary structure includes four short double-helical elements and three loops (D, anti-codon, and T loops). Further hydrogen bonds mediate the characteristic L-shaped molecular structure. tRNAs have two regions of fundamental functional importance: the anti-codon, which is responsible for specific mRNA codon recognition, and the 3' end, to which the tRNAs corresponding amino acid is attached (by aminoacyl-tRNA synthetases). tRNAs cope with the degeneracy of the genetic code in two manners: having more than one tRNA (with a specific anti-codon) for a particular amino acid; and 'wobble' base-pairing, i.e. permitting non-standard base-pairing at the 3rd anti-codon position.
Source: Rfam
UGGCACAGUAGGUAGCGCAUCAGUCUCAAAAGCUGAAGGUCCCCAGUUCGAUCCUCGG